GAGUGAACGCUGGCGGUAGGCCUAACACAUGCAAGUCGAACGGCAGCACAGUAAGAGCUUGCUCUUACGGGUGGCGAGUGGCGGACGGGUGAGGAAUACAUCGGAAUCUACUUUUUCGUGGGGGAUAACGUAGGGAAACUUACGCUAAUACCGCAUACGACCUACGGGUGAAAGCAGGGGAUCUUCGGACCUUGCGCGAUUGAAUGAGCCGAUGUCGGAUUAGCUAGUUGGCGGGGUAAAGGCCCACCAAGGCGACGAUCCGUAGCUGGUCUGAGAGGAUGAUCAGCCACACUGGAACUGAGACACGGUCCAGACUCCUACGGGAGGCAGCAGUGGGGAAUAUUGGACAAUGGGCGCAAGCCUGAUCCAGCCAUACCGUGUGGGUGAAGAAGGCCUUCGGGUUGUAAAGCCCUUUUGUUGGGAAAGAAAAGCAGCAGGUUAAUACCCCGCUGUUCUGACGGUACCCAAAGAAUAAGCACCGGCUAACUUCGUG
RNAcentral lists this ribosomal RNA (493 nucleotides) under uncultured bacterium. RNAcentral's name for it is "partial 16S ribosomal RNA". It matches the Rfam family "Bacterial small subunit ribosomal RNA", at positions 27 to 507 of the family's 1533-position model. The record is from RNAcentral.